UCUCAUCCGCCCCCAACUCCAUGCUUUCUCUCUCCCAGGCGAUUUCCAGAUCUAGGGUUUCAAUAACCCUGAAUCGUUCAUUUUCUCUCAAUCCGACAGAAGAUCCAGUGGGGUUGACCUCAGCUAAAUGAAGUAUAUGACUGUAGCAAGCCCCAUUUAAACUUUUGCUUCAGAUUGUGACUUUGGGUUCAAAGUUGAUUUUGUUGGUUGCCCCUUUUCUUUAUGCUUAGGAAUCUUGAACCCUAACAACGAGUAUGCAUCCCUGAAUCCCAAAGAAGGUAGCUUUCACGGAUGGAAAUUGUAUGGUUUUGUGAAGCUCAGAUUUUUGCAGAUUCAACAAUACGGACGUGAGUUGUGAGGGGACGGGAGUUGUGAGAGGACGGGAUGACGGUAGUAGGCAUCACUCAGGAGCACAAUUCUGAAAGCAGAUGUCUAUUGUUAUGUUAAAGAGGCCAAGCAAAAUCUAUCAAGUUACUUCUGCACAUAAAGCGCAAUGAGGGAGACGCCAAGGUACAGUCAUUGGUUUUAAGUGAACAUGGCCUUUUGUUUCCAAGGCAAAUCAUUAGAACCAGCAGCCGUGAGCAAUAGCGCCACCACCUUCAAUAAACGAUAUUCGUUUGGAAUAACGGUUGUGAUUCCAUCAUAGCAACCCAGCACCCGAUAAAUGAUAUCAGUUUGUGUUGCUGAUGGAACCUUUGUCCUCUCUCCUGCUGAACCCAGAGAUUAUCACAAACCUAGGCAGCUCAAAACUUGGAAAUGGUGAUCAACCGGUGUUAAUUGAUUAUGAACGUCUCAAAGUAUAGAUACGAUGUUGUGGUUAUGUUUUAUGUUUCUGAAAUGGAGGGUGAAAGAUUAGGUUUAAAAAACUUAUCGAGUUUCCAUUGGCAAUCUCAUGUACUUAAUUUUCCUAUUAAUGAAAUUUGGUUUUUGCUGGUAAAAAAAAAAGCUAAUUUAGAUAAGUUAGCCAAAACACUAACCAUGAGUUUCCAUAGGCAGGUUCUAGACAAAAAAACUUGCAACGGUGUGUAAAGUUUUGCUUCUUUUUGCUUGAUGAACCGAAUUUAUUCAUGAAGUUUUUAAUAGGAAAGUAUC
This 1092-nucleotide long non-coding RNA is filed under the name Helianthus annuus (common sunflower). Lineage: Eukaryota; Viridiplantae; Streptophyta; Magnoliopsida; Asterales; Asteraceae. The record is from RNAcentral.